GAUGAACGCUGGCGGCGUGCCUAAUACAUGCAAGUCGAGCGAACAGACGAGGAGCUUGCUCCUCUGACGUUAGCGGCGGACGGGUGAGUAACACGUGGAUAACCUACCUAUAAGACUGGGAUAACUUCGGGAAACCGGAGCUAAUACCGGAUAAUAUAUUGAACCGCAUGGUUCAAUAGUGAAAGACGGUUUUGCUGUCACUUAUAGAUGGAUCCGCGCCGCAUUAGCUAGUUGUAAAGGUAACGGCUUACCAAGGCAACGAUGCGUAGCCAACCGGAGAGAGUGAUCGGCCACACUGGAGCUGAGACACGGUCCAGACUCCUACGAGAGGCAGCAGUAGGGAAUCUUCCGCAAUGGGCGAAAGCUUGACGGAGCAACGCCGCGUGAGUGAUGAAGGUCUUCGGAUCGUAAAACUCUGUUAUUAGGGAAGAACAAAUGUGUAAGUAACGAUGCACGUCUUGACGGUACCGAAUCAGAAAGCCACGGCUAACUACGU
This 496-nucleotide ribosomal RNA is filed under the name uncultured bacterium. Its description in RNAcentral is "partial 16S ribosomal RNA". It matches the Rfam family "Bacterial small subunit ribosomal RNA", at positions 28 to 506 of the family's 1533-position model. The record is from RNAcentral.